Molecule: non-coding RNA, 24 nt
Filed under: Arabidopsis thaliana (thale cress)
Lineage: Eukaryota; Viridiplantae; Streptophyta; Magnoliopsida; Brassicales; Brassicaceae
Source: RNAcentral
GAGAUAGAAAAGUUGAUUGGAAAU